Oryzias latipes (Japanese medaka) is the source of this 566-nucleotide non-coding RNA. Lineage: Eukaryota; Metazoa; Chordata; Actinopteri; Beloniformes; Adrianichthyidae. The record is from RefSeq and is a predicted model, not a curated record.
GUACAUGCUAAAUUAAGAACAUUUUUGAGCUGAAGAGUUUUGAUUAUGUAUUUGCAUCAAUAGGAGUCUGAGGGUUAAUGAUUUAUUUGACAGGAUAGUGUGGGGAACAAAAGACGGGCAAAUAAGUAUGAGUUUUUUAUCCUAUUGCUGUCUUAGACAAGAUGAUAAAUCUGCUAAACUGUUAAGUUGGUCAGUAUUUAAAAAUCUUUUUUACUUUUUUUGUUUUUGCUAUCAUACUAAUUUAAAUAUUACAGUAACUGAAAGCUUUAAUACUUUGACAGAUUAGCCGAGUUGUCCUGCAAAAACCUGCAAUACCAGUUCAAGUGGAGAUACUGAAGUGGACUCAGAUGACACCAUAAUAUUACAACUCAGUCCUACAACAAGACGAAGAGUUGAAGACACCUCUCUUGCCAAAGUGGUUGCUGUCAUUGGUGAGGAUGCAUCAUCCGUUGAAGGUCAUGUGAAUAUCCUGCAUAUCCAGUACAGCAAGGUGCGAGAGGAUAUACUAAAGAAGUACCCUUUCUUGAAGACAACCUCGGGGUUGUUUGAUGAUGUUGACCGAAUGC